RNAcentral lists this long non-coding RNA (208 nucleotides) under Elaeis guineensis (African oil palm). RNAcentral's name for it is "long non-coding RNA (EGUI_LNC048437)". The record is from RNAcentral. Lineage: Eukaryota; Viridiplantae; Streptophyta; Magnoliopsida; Arecales; Arecaceae.
GAUCCUUUGAGCAGCAUGUGAGCUAUUCUGUACCUAGAUGCAUUCAACAUAAGGAGACAUAUUAGGAGAAAAUGACUUAACAAAAUCAAAGAGAUGUGAGUAGAUUACCAAAGGCAAGAGCAAUGCUUAGUAUAAGAGGAGCACACAAUCAAGGGAUCAAAAUCAUAGUCAAAGGAUUUUUAUAUAUAUGCUGAAAGUAUCAAGGAGG